Molecule: unclassified non-coding RNA, 303 nt
Filed under: Hevea brasiliensis (rubber tree)
Lineage: Eukaryota; Viridiplantae; Streptophyta; Magnoliopsida; Malpighiales; Euphorbiaceae
Source: RNAcentral
GCCUUUGGCAAUAAGCUUGCCCCACUUGUAGGAAGACCCAAUUCUGCACUUUCUCAGGGUUUUCUCCUAGGCAAGUCUAGAGUGGGUCUUGUUCCUGUGGCUGAUUAUGUGUUUUAUCAGUUUGCAUUUGCUGCCAUUACUGUUAUAUUGCUUGCUGGGUCUUUACUUGGGAGGAUGAACAUCUAUGCUUGGAUGCUAUUUGUUCCUUUAUGGCUCACCUUUAGCUACACUAUUGGGGCUUUCAGCAUUUGGGGAGGAGGCUUUCUUGACCGGCAUAUAAUUGAUUAUGCAGGUGGCUAUGUG